RNAcentral lists this ribosomal RNA (694 nucleotides) under Ptychocheilus umpquae (Umpqua pikeminnow). Its description in RNAcentral is "partial 16S ribosomal RNA". It matches the Rfam family "Bacterial large subunit ribosomal RNA", at positions 841 to 2006 of the family's 2925-position model. The record is from RNAcentral. Lineage: Eukaryota; Metazoa; Chordata; Actinopteri; Cypriniformes; Leuciscidae.
GGUGAUAGCUGGUUAUCUGAGAAGUGGAUAGAAGUUCAGCCUCAUACGCCCCAGAUCAAUACGUAUAUUAUUAAGAUACUCAAGGGAGAUAUAUGAGAGUUAGUUGAAAGGGGUACAGCCCUUUUAACAAAGGAUACAACCUUUACAGGAGGAUAAAGAUCAUAAUAUAUAAAACAUACUGUUUUAGUGGGCCUAAAAGCAGCCACCUAAAUAGAAAGCGUUAAAGCUCAGACAGAAAGAAGUUUAUUAUACCGAUAAAAAAUCUUAUUCCCCUAAUUAUAUCAGAUCAACCCAUGCCCGCAUGGAAGAGAUUAUGCUAGAAUGAGUAACAAGAAGACCUGCGCUUCUCCUUGCACAAGUGUAAACCAGAUCGGACAAACCACUGGAACUUAACGAACCCAACCCAAGAGGGCAAUGUGAACAACAAAAAUUUCAGGAAGAACUCACAGUUAAAAUGAUCGUUAAUCCCACACUGGAGUGCUAUUUUAUAAAGGAAAGACUAAAGGAUAGGGAAGGAACUCGGCAAACACAAGCCUCGCCUGUUUACCAAAAACAUCGCCUCCUGCAACUAAACUGAGUAUAGGAGGUCCAGCCUGCCCAGUGACUACGGGUUCAACGGCCGCGGUAUUUUGACCGUGCAAAGGUAGCGCAAUCACUUGUCUCUUAAAUAGAGACCUGUAUGAAUGGCUAGACG